GAAGGCUUUGCUCCGCGCAUUAACACGAUGAAGUGUUGCUCGGAGC
This is a non-coding RNA of Pseudoalteromonas piscicida, 46 nucleotides long. The record is from Rfam. NCBI's taxonomy places the organism in Bacteria, Pseudomonadati, Pseudomonadota, Gammaproteobacteria, Alteromonadales, Pseudoalteromonadaceae.